This 443-nucleotide ribosomal RNA is filed under the name uncultured bacterium. RNAcentral describes it as "partial 16S ribosomal RNA". It matches the Rfam family "Bacterial small subunit ribosomal RNA", at positions 338 to 795 of the family's 1533-position model. The record is from RNAcentral.
CCUACGGGGUGCAGCAGUGGGGAAUAUUGGGCAAUGGGCGCAAGCCUGACCCAGCAACGCCGCGUGAAGGAAGAAGGCUUUCGGGUUGUAAACUUCUUUUCUCAGGGACGAAGCAAGUGACGGUACCUGAGUAAUAAGCCACGGCUAACUACGUGCCAGCAGCCGCGGUAAUACGUAGGUGGCAAGCGUUAUCCGGAUUUACUGGGUGGAAAGGGCGUGUAGGCGGGAAAGCAAUUCAGAUGUGAAAACCAUGGGCGCAACCUGUGGCCUGCAUUUGAAACUGUUUUUCUUGAGUACUGGAGAGGAAGACGGAAUUCCUAGUGUAGCGGUGAAAUGCGUAGAUAUUAGGAGGAACACCAGUGGCGAAGGCGGUCUGCUGGACAGCAACUGACGCUGAGGCGCGAAAGCGUGGGGAGCAAACAGGAUUAGAUACCCUAGUAGUC